RNAcentral lists this transfer RNA (82 nucleotides) under Echinostoma caproni. It matches the Rfam family "tRNA". Rfam says of the family: Transfer RNA (tRNA) molecules are approximately 80 nucleotides in length. Their secondary structure includes four short double-helical elements and three loops (D, anti-codon, and T loops). Further hydrogen bonds mediate the characteristic L-shaped molecular structure. tRNAs have two regions of fundamental functional importance: the anti-codon, which is responsible for specific mRNA codon recognition, and the 3' end, to which the tRNAs corresponding amino acid is attached (by aminoacyl-tRNA synthetases). tRNAs cope with the degeneracy of the genetic code in two manners: having more than one tRNA (with a specific anti-codon) for a particular amino acid; and 'wobble' base-pairing, i.e. permitting non-standard base-pairing at the 3rd anti-codon position. The record is from Rfam by way of RNAcentral. Lineage: Eukaryota; Metazoa; Platyhelminthes; Trematoda; Plagiorchiida; Echinostomatidae.
AAUCUCUUAGCUCGGCUGGUAGAGCAUGCACUUACAAAGCGUAGGCGGCAUCCAUGGGUGGGUUCAAAUCCCACCGAGGUUA